RNAcentral lists this ribosomal RNA (521 nucleotides) under uncultured Staphylococcus sp. RNAcentral describes it as "partial 16S ribosomal RNA". The record is from RNAcentral. Lineage: Bacteria; Bacillati; Bacillota; Bacilli; Caryophanales; Staphylococcaceae.
CACGUAGUUAGCCGUGGCUUUCUGGUUAGGUACCGUCAAGACUUGUUCAGUUACUAACAAAUUUGUUCUUCCCUAACAACAGAGUUUUACGAUCCUAAGACCUUCAUCACUCACGCGGCGUUGCUCCGUCAGGCUUUCGCCCAUUGCGGAAGAUUCCCUACUGCUGCCUCCCGUAGGGGUCUGGACCGUGUCUCAGUUCCAGUGUGGCCGAUCACCCUCUCAGGUCGGCUACGUAUCGUUGCCUUGGUAAGCCGUUACCUUACCAACUAGCUAAUACGGCGCGGGUCCAUCUAUAAGUGACAGCCGAAACCGUCUUUCAACAUUGAACCAUGCGGUUCAAUAUAUUAUCCGGUAUUAGCCCCGGUUUCCCGGAGUUAUCCCAGUCUUAUAGGUAGGUUACCCACGUUGUUACUCACCCGUCCGCCGCUAACAUCAGAGAAGCAAGCUUCUCAUCUGUUCGCUCGACUUGCAUGUAUUAGGCACGCCGCCAGCGUUCAUCCCUGAGCCAGGAUCAAAACUCU